UACGUAGGUGGCAAGCGUUGUCCGAAAUUAUUGGGCGUAAAGCGCGCGCAGGCGGUCCCUUAAGUCUGAUGUGAAAGCCCACGGCUCAACCGUGGAGGGUCAUUGGAAACUGGGGGACUUGAGUGCAGAAGAGGAAAGUGGAAUUCCAUGUGUAGCGGUGAAAUGCGUAGAGAUGUGGAGGAACACCAGUGGCGAAGGCGACUUUCUGGUCUGUAACUGACGCUGAGGCGCGAAAGCGUGGGGAGCAAACAGG
This 253-nucleotide ribosomal RNA is filed under the name uncultured bacterium. RNAcentral describes it as "partial 16S ribosomal RNA". It matches the Rfam family "Bacterial small subunit ribosomal RNA", at positions 524 to 776 of the family's 1533-position model. The record is from RNAcentral.